GACGAACGCUGGCGGCGUGCUUAACACAUGCAAGUCGAACGGAAAGGCCCUGCUUUUGUGGGGUGCUCGAGUGGCGAACGGGUGAGUAACACGUGAGUAACCUGCCCUUGACUUUGGGAUAGCUUCAGGAAACUGGGGCUAAUACCGGAUAGGAGCUCCUGCUGCAUGGUGGGGGUUGGAAAGUUUCGGCGGUUGGGGAUGGACUCGCGGCUUAUCAGCUUGUUGGUGGGGUAGUGGCUUACCAAGGCUUUGACGGGUAGCCGGCCUGAGAGGGUGACCGGCCACAUUGGGACUGGGAUACGGCCCAGACUCCUACGGGAGGCAGCAGUGGGGAAUAUUGCACAAUGGGCGGAAGCCUGAUGCAGCAACGCCGCGUGCGGGAUGACGGCCUUCGGGUUGUAAACCGCUUUCGCCUGUGACGAAGCGUGAGUGACGGUAAUGGGUAAAGAAGCACCGGCUAACUACGUG
RNAcentral lists this ribosomal RNA (468 nucleotides) under uncultured bacterium. RNAcentral's name for it is "partial 16S ribosomal RNA". It matches the Rfam family "Bacterial small subunit ribosomal RNA", at positions 28 to 507 of the family's 1533-position model. The record is from RNAcentral.